Echinops telfairi (small Madagascar hedgehog) is the source of this 164-nucleotide small nuclear RNA. Its record names the gene U1. It matches the Rfam family "U1 spliceosomal RNA". Rfam says of the family: U1 is a small nuclear RNA (snRNA) component of the spliceosome (involved in pre-mRNA splicing). Lineage: Eukaryota; Metazoa; Chordata; Mammalia; Afrosoricida; Tenrecidae. The record is from Ensembl.
AUACUUACCUGGCAGGGGAGAUACCAUGAUUACGAAGGUGGUUUUCCCAGGAUAAGGCUCACCCAUUGCACUCCGGGUGUGCUGACCCCUGCGAUGUCCCCAAAUGUGUGAAACUGGACUGCAUAAUUUGUGGUAGAGGGGGACUGCGUUUGUGUUAUCCCCUG